UAUGGAAUCUCAAAAACCUGC
This 21-nucleotide non-coding RNA is filed under the name Caenorhabditis elegans. Lineage: Eukaryota; Metazoa; Nematoda; Chromadorea; Rhabditida; Rhabditidae. The record is from RNAcentral.